GGAAAUGUAUCGUACAGCGAUGCGAUUUCGGGCACCGAUGGUCAUUCGCUUAAAGUAUCGCAACCAAUUCCAUUGUGAAUGGGAUAUCUCCCGAAUUUUCGAACAAAACCACGCUGAUUAGAGCCGAGCCGCUGCGUCUAAGCAGAAAUUAAACUGAUGUGCGUCAAUGUGAUGGGAUCCUGAUUCCGAACUGUUCUCCAAGGCUCAAUUGCUGACAAAAUACGACUGCAUCACAACUUUUCACGCUUUAAGGGCAAAUGGCUUGUUAGGCUUCCUUCAAUUGCGGCUCAAUCAGUUACUGCAAUGGCAAUGAAGAAUGCAUGAUCAGGGAAGUACGAUUGGAGAGGCUAUAGGGAAAAUUAUGCUACAUUUUUAAAAUAAAUCAUUGUGAGAAAAGAACUAGAAACAUACUGCACUUAUUUUGAAGAUUAAUUAAUUAUGAGAUCAACACAUACAUGAUGUUUUUUCUUUUUCUAAUGAAAAAUAUUUAGAAGCGUUCUCCAAGUGGUCUCAUUAUCAAUUCUGUAAUUUGAACAUGUGGAGGGGUUCCCAGAACAUAAACAAAAAGAGGCAGCUACGUCUUCAGAUUCUAAAGCGGGUUUCUUAGUAACUAAUGUUCCGAUAUGCGAAUUUGAACUUGCUUCUGUCAUUUCCGUUUUCACGUAUCCUGGACUGAUACUCUGUGUAAAAUACGUCAAAUUGUUAGUAUUUAUUAUUACAUUCUUAUAUAGUAAUU
Molecule: long non-coding RNA, 736 nt
Organism: Belonocnema kinseyi
Lineage: Eukaryota; Metazoa; Arthropoda; Insecta; Hymenoptera; Cynipidae
Exons: 4
Source: RefSeq, a predicted model, not a curated record